CACCCGCCCCACAAUAAGAGUGGUGCUGCGUGCUGUUUGUCGUCCACACUGGGCUGUCUCUCCAGGACCUUUGUUUUGGACGUGAAUGAGGACAGCUGCCAGAUCCUGCUGUCUGCUGCACACAGUCGGGUAUCAUUCCAGGACCUUGCUUCAGAAGUUAAGUUCCCCCUCUAUUAAAUCACUGGUGUCUGUGGCUGACUCUGGGCUCUUUCUGAUGGGCAAGCACAGGCCUACAGGGUGCAGCCCAACUGUUGUUGGAGCAGCCAGGAGAUGGAGGAAACCCUCGUGAGUGUGGAUGUGGCGGGAAAUACAGCAUAGGGAGUGGAAAGUUGUGGGGGUCAUCCACUAACACGUGGGGCCCCAAAGUUCCAUAGGUGAAGCCAAAAGUUAGGGGAAAUCCCGGGAUGACUGUCCGCUAGUAUGUGGGGCUCCAGGGUGGCUGUCCUUGCUAACUGGGGGCUGCCAAGAGAUCUGGAGAACAAUGGUCUCUGAUGACUCUGCUAUUGUAGUGAGUCUUGUAAUAGGUUAAGCUAGCUUUCUAGAAGGAACUGGUAUUUCUCUUGUCCCUUUGAGAUAUAAAUAACCUACCUGUGCUCUCUGGAACUUUAACCUCUUGUGAUCUUUUUGGACGUGCCUUGUAUAUCUUCUUUGGCCUUUGAGGAUGUGAAUGUAUUUGAAAGUCAAAAUGGAGUAGCUCUGGUGCAGACAUUGGAAGUAAAACUAGGUGGUCAUUGUGUACAUGAUUUUAGGCACGUUCUUGUAUUAUUGAAAGCUUGUUUUCUGAACUGUUUGCAGACCAGGACAUUAUCUCAGAAUGAGGUUACUGCUUGUAUUUUGCUUAAUUGUCAUGAUCUCCCCUCUGUUGUACC
Molecule: long non-coding RNA, 869 nt
Organism: Bubalus bubalis (water buffalo)
Lineage: Eukaryota; Metazoa; Chordata; Mammalia; Artiodactyla; Bovidae
Exons: 2
Source: RefSeq, a predicted model, not a curated record